CCAGAGUAGAGUCCCAUUCAGUCCUACUGUGUGAGAGCAACAAGAGGAAGAUGGAGCAUUUUCUAACUGUUCUGCUGCUCACUGUAGCGACCCUGAUAAUCACCACAACAGGUCAACCCCAGUACAACACACUGAGCCAGGAGGAGAAGAAAUACGUGGACAUGGCUAUCAUACAUGCCAACGAGCAAUACAAGACGAGGGGAGAACACAUGAAUUACUACUAUUAAUUAAAGCUACAGUCCGGGAUUUGGAAAGGUGUUCAAUGAUCAAACCACACCUUAUUCAACAUGUUCCUGAAGUCAACAACUUGUACCAUGGCCAACGUAGCAAGUGAACACAAACAUCGCCCUGAAUGCAGUUUUAAAUCCAGCAGGUUCUGCCCGCUCUGACUCUGGUCCUUGUCUCCAGUCCGACUUCUUGUCAGUCCCGCUACACUGUCCUGGAUUCCCCACUCUACGCUUCCUUGGUUUCCCCUCCGGACCUGCUUACCCUGUCCCCACACCUCUCACUCCAGCCUCAGCCUCUGCACCUAGUUUCCACCAACCCACCCGAGCUUCCCCUGGCCUGCACUCAAUCUUCCCACCGUUUUUAAAUAAAUACCUUGGUUACUUCAUCCCAGUCUCCUCGUCUGAGUUUGCUCUUGGGUUCACCUGUUCCGCUCUGCAUGACAGAAUGUUCCGGAGUGGCCAAUUUACAGUUUUGACUUACGUAAAUCUACUUGAAAAUCUAUGGCAAAACCUGAAAAUGUCUGUCUAUUAAUGAUCAACAACAAAUUUGACAGAUGUUGAAGAAUUUUGAAAAUAAUAAUGGGCAAAUGUUGCACAAUCCAGGUGUGGAAAGCUCUUAGAGACUUCCCAUAAACAGCUGUAAUCGCUGCCAAUAGUACUUCUACAAAGUACUGACUCAGAGGUGUGAAUACUUAUGUAAAUUCAAUAUUUCUGUAUA
Salvelinus fontinalis (brook trout) is the source of this 945-nucleotide long non-coding RNA. RefSeq lists it as uncharacterized. The record is from RefSeq and is a predicted model, not a curated record. The transcript is spliced from 3 exons. Lineage: Eukaryota; Metazoa; Chordata; Actinopteri; Salmoniformes; Salmonidae.